This 265-nucleotide signal recognition particle RNA is filed under the name Thermoleophilia bacterium. Its description in RNAcentral is "signal recognition particle sRNA large type". It matches the Rfam family "Bacterial large signal recognition particle RNA". From Rfam's summary of the family: The signal recognition particle (SRP) is a universally conserved ribonucleoprotein involved in the co-translational targeting of proteins to membranes. Archaeal SRP consists of a 7S RNA and homologues of the eukaryotic SRP19 and SRP54 proteins. The record is from RNAcentral. RNAcentral also lists the same sequence under 1 other name. Lineage: Bacteria; Bacillati; Actinomycetota; Thermoleophilia.
CCGUGCUAGGCGGGGAGUUUGCGGUUCCCUGUAUCGGCAAUCCGCUCUAGCCGGGCACAACUCCCUUUUUCGGGGGUGACAAGGAGUACGGGGUACCACCAGAAGCGUUGAUGGUCAGGUCCCGCGCGAUCGGCAAUCUCGAACCGUGUCAGGGCCGGAAGGCAGCAGCACUCAGAGAACCCGCUGGUGCGCCGCGGUCAAGCCUGAUCGGAGUGACUGGCUGGUAAACCGGACAGCCCGGUCGCCAACAACGAAGGGUGCACGG